UCAUUUAAAGAAAGCGUAAUAGCUCACUGGUCGAGUCGGCCUGCGCGGAAGAUGUAACGGGGCUAAACCAUGCACCGAAGCUGCGGCAGCGACACUGUGUGUUGUUGGGUAGGGGAGCGUUCUGUAAGCCUGUGAAGGUGUGUCGUGAGGCAUGCUGGAGGUAUCAGAAGUGCGAAUGCUGACAUAAGUAACGAUAAAGCGGGUGAAAAGCCCGCUCGCCGGAAGACCAAGGGUUCCUGUCCAACGUUAAUCGGGGCAGGGUGAGUCGACCCCUAAGGCGAGGCCGAAAGGCGUAGUCGAUGGGAAACGGGUUAAUAUUCCCGUACUUGGUGUUACUGCGAAGGGGGGACGGAGAAGGCUAUGUUGGCCGGGCGACGGUUGUCCCGGUUUAAGCGUGUAGGUGUGUGUUCCAGGUAAAUCCGGUUCACUUUAACACUGAGGCGUGACGACGAGGCACUACGGUGCUGAAGCAACAAAUGCCCUGCUUCCAGGAAAAGCCUCUAAGCAUCAGGUAACAUCAAAUCGUACCCCAAACCGACACAGGUGGUCAGGUAGAGAAUACCAAGGCGCUUGAGAGAACUCGGGUGAAGGAACUAGGCAAAAUGGUGCCGUAACUUCGGGAGAAGGCACGCUGACACGUAGGUGAAGUGAUUUACUCAUGGAGCUGAAGUCAGUCGAAGAUACCAGCUGGCUGCAACUGUUUAUUAAAAACACAGCACUGUGCAAACACGAAAGUGGACGUAUACGGUGUGACGCCUGCCCGGUGCCGGAAGGUUAAUUGAUGGGGUCAGCGCAAGCGAAGCUCCUGAUCGAAGCCCCGGUAAACGGCGGCCGUAACUAUAACGGUCCUAAGGUAGCGAAAUUCCUUGUCGGGUAAGUUCCGACCUGCACGAAUGGCGUAAUGAUGGCCAGGCUGUCUCCACCCGAGACUCAGUGAAAUUGAACUCGCUGUGAAGAUGCAGUGUACCCGCGGCAAGACGGAAAGACCCCGUGAACCUUUACUAUAGCUUGACACUGAACAUUGAGCCUUGAUGUGUAGGAUAGGUGGGAGGCUUUGAAGUGUGGACGCCAGUCUGCAUGGAGCCGACCUUGAAAUACCACCCUUUAAUGUUUGAUGUUCUAACGUGGACCCGUUACCCGGGUUGCGGACAGUGUCUGGUGGGUAGUUUGACUGGGGCGGUCUCCUCC
This 1188-nucleotide ribosomal RNA is filed under the name Salmonella enterica. RNAcentral describes it as "partial 23S ribosomal RNA". It matches the Rfam family "Bacterial large subunit ribosomal RNA", at positions 1119 to 2290 of the family's 2925-position model. The record is from RNAcentral. Lineage: Bacteria; Pseudomonadati; Pseudomonadota; Gammaproteobacteria; Enterobacterales; Enterobacteriaceae.